UGGGGUCGCAGAGUCAGACACGACUGAGUGACUGAACUGAACUGAGGCAGGUAACACAGAUUCCAUUCUAAACUUUGUUUCUCCUCCAUCACCCAAACAUUUCUGUGGGAUUGUGAUACAACACAUUCACAAUCUGAAAUGCCCUCCAGCCACGUUACCUCAAGGGACAGGUAGGGCGGCCGUGUAAAGUGCAGAGAAGUCCCCCCGGAAGCCCCUCCCACAGCAGACGGCCAGCAGUAAUUUAACUACAACACCAAAGUGAAUGGAAGCCUCAUAAAUACAACUCAGUGAACCCAGACUAAACACAUCCUGAACUUAUCUUCCCCUUAGCUGGGUCCCCACAAAUCCUCUCACCUUCUCUAAGGCCACUCAAUGCAGCAGAAAUCUAUAGCCAAGGAAAUCAGAGCAGAGAGACAGACAGCUUAACAAUCACGGUUAAAGGAUCUGACUUUUGUAAUUUUACCAAACAUAUCGCCUCAUGGAUGUAAUGCUACGGUUCCCACCCUCAGAUCCUUGGAAAGGGUUAUACAAGUUUCACUGGGACCUAAAACUUCUUUUGCUUCCUGGUAAUCCCCUCUGAGUCAACCUCCAGCAUGAAGCACCACAUUUCCCCUGAGAUAUCUCAAGGGGAACCAGAGUGCUUUCCGGCACCGCCAACCAGAAUGCUUUCCAGCGGACCCACUCUCCACUCUCGAGGAUAUCCUUGGGGCAGAGAAGUGAUGUCAGGGCCACGGAAGGAAAAUACUCCCAAGCUGGUAGUGAGCUGACAACACGCACAGCCCUGUGGCCUCCCUCCUCACCUAAGCCAAGCCCAAAAGGGAAAGAGGGAAGAAGAAGGAAGUCUGCUGCAGGGGCCAGCUGCGAUAAAUCUCUUUCUGCCUGCACUCACCUGCUCUUGUUCUCCACCCAAAUAGUUGAGACAUCAAGGCACAUCAAUAUUCUGGUUCUGCCAUUCAAGUGACCCAUUUUGGCUGGGUCAUAUUCUGCCAGUUUCAGCUUUGUGGAAACUGCCCAGUUUGGUGGCCUGAAUUAGAAAAAUGGACAACAACAGUGGCAAAGGGCUGCAGUAACUGAGGUGAUAGAGGUUGAUGACAUGAUGAAGGGAGAUGGGACAGAAUGGAAGGCCCUCAAGGCAUAAUGGAAGUACAGAGUUUGGAUUAAAAAUUGGGAGUGAUGGACGUGACCAGGGGUGAUCCUGAUGACAUCUAACCAAAUGCAGGGAGUUUCAAAUUGCUUUACCUGAAUGAUUUUCUGCAUUCUCCAAUCUGGCACUAUUUCACUCUCCUUUUACAGACAAGGAAACUGAAGCAUGCAGAGGUUAAGCAACCUGCCAGAGUUCAUGUGGCCAGAAAGAGAUUCUUUCUGGAUUCAAACCCAGGUAGCCUGA
Molecule: long non-coding RNA, 1387 nt
Filed under: Capra hircus (goat)
Lineage: Eukaryota; Metazoa; Chordata; Mammalia; Artiodactyla; Bovidae
Description: lncRNA (ENSCHIG00010022170.1)
Source: RNAcentral